Molecule: ribosomal RNA, 441 nt
Filed under: uncultured bacterium
Lineage: Bacteria
Description: bacterial SSU rRNA
Rfam family: Bacterial small subunit ribosomal RNA
Source: RNAcentral
CCUAUGGGAUGCAGCAGUGGGGAAUAUUGGACAAUGGGCGAAAGCCUGAUCCAGCAAUGCCGCGUGGAUGAAGAAGGUUUUCGGAUUGUAAAGUCCUUUCGGCGGGGACGAUGAUGACGGUACCCGCAGAAGAAGCCCCGGCUAACUUCGUGCCAGCAGCCGCGGUAAUACGAAGGGGGCUAGCGUUGCUCGGAAUGACUGGGCGUAAAGGGCGCGUAGGCGGUUUGGACAGUUAGGCGUGAAAUUCCUGGGCUCAACCUGGGGACUGCGCUUAAUACAUCCAGACUUGAGUGUGGAAGAGGGUUGUGGAAUUCCCAGUGUAGAGGUGAAAUUCGUAGAUAUUGGGAAGAACACCGGUGGCGAAGGCGGCAACCUGGUCCAUUACUGACGCUGAGGCGCGAAAGCGUGGGGAGCAAACAGGAUUAGAUACCCAGGUAGUCC